GUCUAUGGUCAUGCCACCCUGAACAGGCCCGAUCCCCUCUGAUCUCAGAAGCUAAGCAGGGUCAAGCCUGGUUAGUACUUGGAUGGGAGGCCACCUAGGAAGACCAGGUGCUGCAGGUG
This 119-nucleotide ribosomal RNA is filed under the name Pteropus alecto (black flying fox). Lineage: Eukaryota; Metazoa; Chordata; Mammalia; Chiroptera; Pteropodidae. The record is from RNAcentral.